AGUGAUCAGAAGUGAGAAUGUUGACAUGAGUAGCGACAAACAGGGUGAGAGACCCUGUCGCCGAAAGUCCAAGGGUUCCUGCUUAAAGCUAAUCUGAGCAGGGUAAGCCGGCCCCUAAGGCGAGGCCGAAAGGCGUAGUCGAUGGGAACCAGGUUAAUAUUCCUGGGCCAGGAGAUGGUGACGGAUCGCAGAGGUAGUUCUUCCUUAUCGGAUUGGAAGGGCUGCUGAGUGGUUCCUGGAAAUAGCCCUCCAUGAGACCGUACCCUAAACCGACACAGGUGGACUGGUAGAGAAUACCAAGGCGCUUGAGAGAACCACAUUUAAGGAACUCGGCAAAAUACCUCCGUAAGUUCGCGAGAAGGAGGCCCCGUUUGUACGCAAGUAUGGGCGGGGGGCACAAACCAGGGGGUGGCGACUGUUUACUAAAAACACAGGGCUCUGCGAAGCCGUAAGGCGACGUAUAGGGUCUGACGCCUGCCCGGUGCCGGAAGGUUAAAAGGAGAUGUGCAAGCAUUGAAUUGAAGCCCCGGUAAACGGCGGCCGUAACAAUAACGGUCCUAAGGUAGCGAAAUUCCUUGUCGGGUAAGUUCCGACCUGCACGAAUGGCGUAACGACUUCCCCGCUGUCUCAAAUGUGGACUCAGCGAAAUUGAAUUGUCUGUGAAGAUGCAGACUUCCCGCGGUUAGACGGAAAGACCCCGUGCACCUUUACUAUAGCUUCGCACUGGCAUCAGGAUUGUGAUGUGCAGGAUAGGUGGUAGGCAUUGAAACCGGGACGCCAGUUCCGGUGGAGCCAUCCUUGAGAUACCACCCUUCGCACUCUUGAUGUCUAACCGCGGCCCGUUAUCCGGGUCCGGGACCCUGCGUGGUGGGUAGUUUGACUGGGGCGGUCGCCUCCCAAAGAGUAACGGAGGCGCGCGAAGGUUGGCUCAGAGCGGUCGGAAAUCGCUCGUUGAGUGCAAUGGCAGAAGCCAGCCUGACUGCAAGACUGACAAGUCGAGCAGAGACGAAAGUCGGCCAUAGUGAUCCGGUGGUCCCGAGUGGAAGGGCCAUCGCUCAACGGAUAAAAGGUACGCUGGGGAUAACAGGCUGAUGAUGCCCAAGAGUCCAUAUCGACGGCAUCGUUUGGCACCUCGAUGUCGGCUCAUCUCAUCCUGGGGCUGGAGCAGGUCCCAAGGGUAUGGCUGUUCGCCAUUUAAAGAGGUACGUGAGCUGGGUUUAGAACGUCGUGAGACAGUUCGGUCCCUAUCUGCCGUGGGUGUAGGAUACUUGAGAGGAGUUGCCCCUAGUACGAGAGGACCGGGGUGAACGUUCCACUGGUGGACCAGUUGUCGUGCCAACGGCAGUGCUGGGUAGCUAUGAACGGACAGGAUAAACGCUGAAGGCAUCUAAG
RNAcentral lists this ribosomal RNA (1392 nucleotides) under metagenome. RNAcentral's name for it is "bacterial LSU rRNA". It matches the Rfam family "Bacterial large subunit ribosomal RNA", at positions 1277 to 2785 of the family's 2925-position model. The record is from RNAcentral.